CCAAGUGAAUCCCUUCCUGAGAGACCUGGAGAGCCAGACCUGGAGAGUCACAUUAUCUAUCUAUCUAUGAUGUAGAUUUGCUUAUAUUCCAUUUCAUAAUUUUUAAACAGUUCCACUUGAAUAUGUGGCAAUGUAAGUUUGGUGCAACCUGCAAAUUUCAUCACCCGAAAGAUAUCCUAAUACCAUCAGCCGAGCAAGAGAAUACAUUUGGAGAAACUGGGACAACUAUUCAGCCGGAGGGAACUGGAUUUGCUGUGAAGCCUCCUGUUUCAUUCAUCCCUGCACUGUCAUUUAACUCCAAGGGUCUUCCUGUAAGACCGGUAAGGACAAUGCAACACAUGAGCCUUUUAUUAUUCUAUUUGCAUUACAUCCAGAUUUUUAGUUACUUCUUUCUUCUUUUGAUUUAACAGCUUUUUGAUGUUGUAAAUUUAUGUUGAUCAUGUAUCUUUUGCUUCUAACAGGGUGAACCCGAUUGUCCAUUCUACCUAAUUGGAAGGUCAGCAUAUGUACAGUUUUGUUGACUUAUACUGUGAUAAAAGUAAAAGAUGACUGAGAAUUCUUAAAUGGCUUUUGUUUUCUAAAUCAGUUGCAUGUAUGGGGCCACUUGGGCAUGACUUAAGAGAACAGAAAAAGGCACUAUGGACGAUCUUGUAUCUGCCUCCACCACGCACUCAGCGCGGUUGGCAAUACCUCCUUUGGUGAGGAGAAGGCCACGCAGAGAAGUUUGUAAUAGGUAAUGUCCAAGUUUGUAAUCAGUAAUCUUACGGCAUGAAUUCUUUAUAAAGUACUGCAACAUACAAAAGGGCAUUCAUGUGAUGCACCAGUACUUGGCCUCUUUUCCCAUGCAUCAGGACCUUCAUGCGAUCUGAUAAUCAACUUGAGUUGAAAUUUAUUGAGAAAGUUCUCAGUGCAGUCUGGACCCCAAAUCAGACCAAUGCCUCUCUAUAUUUGGAGAAAGACCAGGAGUCAUUAAGGGAUUCGACCACAUCAUGUCACCAGGAACCAAGUUGGGACCUCCUCAUGGAGCAUCAAGAUAGGUCUCAACUUGAUUCUUGGUGACGUGAUGUGGUUGGAUUCUCAAUGAAUCCUGGUCUUUCUUUAAAUAUAGAGAGGCAUUGGUCUGAUUUGGGGUACUGACUGCACUGAGAAUUUUCUCAAUAAAUUUCAAUUCAAGUUGAUUAUCAAAUCGCAUGAAGGCCCUGAUGCACUGGAAAAUAGGACAUUACUGAUUACAAAAUUCUUUGUUAUCGGGAUGCGAUUUGCGAGGUUGUAUCCUUACCCUUCGGUUGGAUGAAGGAAUUGAAAAUUACAUAAAAUUCUAAAAUAACGGAAUUUUGAUUUGCAAUUUAAAUUUUAGUGUUUGGAUUUAUGUAUGUCGGAUUUUUUAAAUGACAAAAAUUUCAAUGUUUGGAUAGCUCAUGGAAAUUGUUAAUGUCAGAAAUUAAAUAUUUUAUGAAAUUGAUAAUUUAUUUCGAACUCAUGAACGACAUUUGUAUCAAAAGAAAAAAUAAAACUCACAACCAAAAUAGAAUGUAUUCCCCCAAGUAGAAAAUAACAUAUUGUUCGAUGAACUAAAGAGGUCAACAAAUUGAAAAAAGAAAACAAUGCUUAUUAGCAAUUCAAAUUGCUUCCACGCGCAAUAAACAUCAGCAAAGUACUUUUUUUUUUUCCUCAAUUGGGAAUGUCUUUAGCAUAUGAAAUUGUUUGUCAUUUUCUAUCAGCCAAGCACAUACUUUAAGCUGUUUAUUUCAAUAAGACUUGAUAUUGCUUGUAACAGCAUAUCUUUGUUGAAUCAAGGUUCUUGAUAUCAGCACCGAUAAACUCUUCAAAUGAUAAAACCAUUCUAGCAAUUGAAUCAGCAACGACAUCUUUGGAUGCUCCUCUUUUCCUUAUAAAAAGAAUAUUAGAAGAAUUUGAUGCACAAUUUCUUUUCUUUUGACCAUUUGUUGAGUUUGGUGAAAUAUCAUCAAUAACAUGGAUAUCUUCUAAAACCUUGUGUAUCACCAUCCAAAUGAACAUGUUCAACUUCAUUGGUAGGGGUCAUAACCUCAAUUGCAUUUGCAAUUGUUUUAGCAUCCCCUCCAGUAGUUCUAUCUUUGUCACACAAAUGUACUAUAUCAUCCCAAUUUUCAAUAACUUUAAAUCGAAAACCUCUAGCAUCGUCAUGAGACUACUCAACAAAUAAUCAAAGUCAAAUAAGAACCUAAUAAGUAUUUAUACAGAAGCACAUGAUUAAAAAAAAUUGCUUUAAUAUAUUUAUUUUCACAUAUUCUUCCCAAACAUGAUCUUCAUCUACACUCAUCAUCUUUUUUGUUGCAUCCCAACUAAAUCCACUUUGACUUAAUGUACCUAGUACUCUUAAUAUACUAUAGUUUUUUUUUUUGUCAAACAUUUCUGUUGAGGCCCAAAAAGUCAUGAGAAGUCCAAAGACAUUUAAGGCCCAAUAUAACAUAUAAUGUUGGUCAUGCGUUAAUCCAAGCUGUAUUUUGGGAAUUAAUUCAUUAAAUAAAUAUAGAAAUAGUGUGCAUGCCAUGCCAAGGCAAUAAUACAUUUUUCAUAUGUUAAUUACCUACCAAGCUCACAUGAACUCAAGUCAUGUGGUUUACGGGGCUUGCACGAGGGAUUGUGGUGUGGAAAGUUACGGAGGUCCAUAAGGCCCACGGAAGCUCUUGGAUAAUGGAGACUUUGGGCUAGCUACUGGGGAGCACCAAAGGCCAAGCCCAUUACUUGGAGUUCUUGAAUGUGGGUGAGCAAAUGAGAUAUUUUUUAAGCACUUCAUUUUACUUAUAGGAAAUAGUCAUUUUCCAAUGCCUAGCUUUACCUGCUGGAAAUAAGAAUGUCCAAAUGCUCCCUAUUAUCUGCUGGAAAUAAGCCAAUUCCAACAUUUCCUUUUACCCAUAGGAAAUAGUCAUUUUUCAAUGCUACCUUUACAUGCUGGAAAUAAGAAUGUCCCAAUGCUCCCUUUUACUCGUUGGACAUAAACUAGCUCCAACACUUCCUUUUACCUAUUGGAAACCAAAGAGAGCCUUCACCUUCUAUAAAUUGGGAGGCAUUGCCUAGCCAAAACCAACCCCUCUUGAUUGCUACAAGCCUCUCAACAACCAUGAGAACUCACCCUUUUUUCAACUGCUGCAAGCAUUCCAGCAGCCAUCACAAUCAUUCUUGAGCCAUCAACCUCUAUCUCUUGGUUGCUCAAGCACCCCAGCAACUUGCUUCCUUCCUUCGGCUGUUGCAAGAAUUCCAAUAGCCAUCCCAGCUAUUCCUCAGCUAUCACAACGAUUUCUUCUACUUUCUUAGCCUUGAAAUCCUCCAUCUUCCCUAUAAAGCCUCACCAAACAUAACUCCAACUUUUUCCUUAUUCCUCAUACCCUUCUAAGCUAUAAACACCAUAGCCUUCAAGCCUCAAGCUUUUCCUUCCAUCCUCCCACCUCUAGAACUCAUAAAUCUCUCUAGAAUUAUAGUCACAAACACCAUAGCCUUCAAAGUCUUAAGCUUUUCUUUCCUCAGCCAUGCUCUUUGAAACCCCAUUCAUUUGACUGCUAUAAGCAUCCCAACAAUCAUCACAGCCAAACAAUCAAACCACCGUAGCCAUAGCUUUAAACAAUAAAUUCUCACCAGCCAAACUCAAGCAUAUGAAAUACCAAGCCAAGCAUAAGCAUUCUCAUUUUCUAAACUUGUGGGUCUUUAGCUCACACACUCCAAGCUCUCAUGCCAAGCUCACACAAUCUCGGUAUACAUCAGCAAGUCAUCUUCAACCAUUCCAAAAGCACGACCAAGCAUUUGUCAAGCUGCUGGAAAUCUACUCAAACCACCCACCCUUUAUCUCCAUCUCUCUCUCUCUCUCUCUCUCUCUCUCUCUCUCUCUCUCUCUCUCUCUCUUUCUCUCUCUCUCUCCCCUCUCAAGCUAAGUUGAAACCAUAGUCAUUACCUUUUUGGUAAGAAAACGCACACAUUGCAAGCUCUUCGUCUAGCUGCCGAAAACACCCCAAAAUCUCUAGCCUUAAUCCUUUCUUUAUGCUCAUUUUCUCUUAGCUCCCACACCACAAGCCUCUCAUGCUGAUCCUAGUAGUAUAUUGAUUCAUCAAAGCAAACUCUCAUGCCAAGCUUAUGCAACAUCAGUGCACCAUCUUCAACUCUUCAUCAAGCUGUCGGAAACAUCAGUAUAAAACACGCAGCCGCUGGAAGAAGAACCAAGUACUCUCCUGGGACUUGCUUCUCCCUUGGGAUGCUUUGGGCCUAGUUCUCGCUAACUCAGAAAAAGGGGCAACAAAGGCUUGAUUCACCACCCUAUGCUGGUCCAAGAACCAACAAGCUCGGACGAGCCUUCUGACGGAAAAAGACCUCAACACUCUCAAUAUACUAUAGUUGAUAACAAUCCAAGAAAACGCUUAGGGCAAGGAGAAGCAAACACCUAAAACUCGUUAAUAUGUGUGGCAACAUAUGGUCAAACUAUUGGGAAGAAAAAUAUAUAAAAGACAAGCAAGAAGAGGAUAACCAGAGAGCGAAAAACCAACACAUCAAACAAAUUAUUUUUAGGCAAAACCAUAUUCCAUAUAGAAAGCAUAGAAGAAAAAACAUUAAUAAGCACAUAGCGAUAAAGCUAAGAAACAUAUACAGAGCUGCAGGAAAACAUUGCACACUAAUAUCCAUGCGCAUAGAGUAUUUUUGUUAAAACUUCCCAAAAUCUAGCCAUAGUGCUGUAAAGAUCACAAAACCCAUUCAUAAUAGAUUCAAAAAUUUAGUUAGAAACACCCAAUUGUGAUAUCCAUUCAGAAAUCAUAGUAACCCUAAAAUAGAAAAACAUAAGUUGACGGGGAGAGAGAUAGGCUUGAAGAUUAACCUUCAGAUUUGAUGCAGAGAGACAACGUGUAACUCAAGAAGAAUUCUUUAUCCUUCCUUCUUUGGUUGUAGCUUUGAGAUUUGGCAGAAGAUAAUUUUUGUAGCUGAGUUUUAUUGUGAGUUUUGGCGCUGGAAAAAAAGAAAAAAAGAAUUCCAACUCCAUGGAAAUUUUGAAAUGACUCCUAUUAUAGUGGAAAUUAAACUCAGGAAUUUGAUGUCCCAAUUUCCACGCUUUUUCUGCGUAUUAUUUAAUAAAUUUCGAGCUUAAGUUGCCAAACAAUGGAAUUAUCAAUUUCUCAAUUUAAAUUCCCGACUUUUAACCAAAUUUCAAGUUAUUUUCCCUCAUCCAAACGGAGGGUUAGGGUUUCGCAUGGAAUUCCUACUUAACUUGUUGAGGAAUUCAGCGUGCCGUUUUUGGGGCACUGAUCAUCCAUAGCAUAGAGAUGUCAUCCCACUUUGAUGAAGUAAAAGCUGUAGUUGAUGCUUUGAACCUUAGGCAAUGAGAACUGAAGAACUAGUGCCGUAAGUUGCGUGACCUUCUCCUCACCAAAGGAGCAACUGCUGAUGAUGCUGAGUGUGUGGUUGAGGUAGCAACAAGAUCGUCCCAUAGUGCCUUUUAUGUUCUCUUUAGUCAUUUCUAAUCCUCCUGUUGAAAGAAACCAGGGCACUCCCUAAGGAUUCAUAAGCUUUCGGAGUGCUUUGGGGUUUGAUUCUUGAACUUAGGUAAAGGGGCGACAUCAUCCACUCUCUUCACAACAGCCCAUGCCCAUAUGGAGCUGUUAGAAUGAAAAAGCAACUACAACCGUCAUAGAAAAUUAGGUGAUUAUUUAGAUCACUUUACCAUGUUUGCAUUUAAAAAAAAUGUAUUUGUAACUAAAACCAAUAUGCAUUCGGGCGAGGAAGAAAAGAGGAGAAAAACACUUGCCAUGGACAAAGUGCUUGCCAACUGCUAAGAGAUUUAGACAUUGUGAGUUUCGAAAAUAAAGAGGGGAAAUAAUAAAUAAUACACAAUAUUCAUUCAAUAUUGAAAUGUUGGAAAUAAACAACAUUCACAAGGAUAUGAUAAUCGAAACAAAUAUUAACAAGGAUACAAUCUUUGUUGUUUAAGGGUGAUAUGUUUCAGACUGAAGGUAAGUAGGUCAUUGAUAGGUUUACGACCUUCCAAAUGCAGUAAUAAAUAGUCAUAUACAUUUUCGAAAUUACUGUAACUAGGAACUACUACUCCAUGAAGGGUGGUGCUCAAAGCUUCUAUAUCAGUAACCAGAACAUCACACUAGUGUCUGGUUAUACUAAUAUAUUAAACUGAGACUCUAGCAGCCAUGUAGCAGAAGCUUCUGUAUAGAGCCACUUCUAUAAUUGUGGAAGCAACCUGUUAUAGUUGUGGAAGCAAAAUAUCUACGGAUCCUAGGUCAAAUAAUUAAGCCAAUCAAUUUGGGAAUUAUUUGGCCUAAUUGGAAGUUAUUUGAUUUAAUUGGCAAUUAUUCGAUUCUUACCCUAAUUAGGAAUUUGAUUUAAAUCAAUUCUCUAAUUAUGCCAAUCUCUCCAAAUUGGGGAAGAAUAAUUCAUUUCCAUAUGUGGAAUUAUUCUUCCGAAACCCUAGCCUCCGAGGCUCCUAUAAAUACAUGGCUACACCAAGGCUUGAGGUAAUUCUAAACUUACGUCUAAACUUCUGUCUCAGAAUACUGCAGAAAUCCUAUCUCACAAACCCUAGCCGCCAUAAUUCUUUCUCUCUCUCACACAAGGCUCCGGCCAUCCGAUUCACACCAUACAUACAUCUCCGUACCCUUUUGUAAGCUAUUGUUUUCCUACAAAUACUCGAACUAACUUAGGUAUUGGAAGGCCUUUGGCCAACACCCCUCGGGUGUGGUCCUCUUAUUCCGAUUAGUUUUGCAGGGAGAAAGAGAAACGAAAAGGAAGACGGAAUCUUAGAUGAAUAUUCUUGUGGGACGAAAAUCGCUCCCACAAUAGUACCAUGGUGGGACUUGGUUUAUGGCUUGACGGAGAUGCUUCCAGGAAAGUAAGGACUUGUUUGGUAUGCUAGAUUGGAUUGGAUUGGAUUAACCUUUCUACACUACACUAGACUGGUUGGGAUAUGACUGGAUUUUAAGAAGUUGUUUAGUGCAAUACAACACCAAAGUUGAGAUUAGUAUGCCAUAUUUUUAUUAUUUUAUUUUUAUAUUCUCAUUUCCAAAUUAAUUAGAAUAAAAUCGAUUUUCAAUCCACCAAAAAAAAAAAAUACAAUAUAAGUCGUCAUCUUUAGACUCCUCAGCCACCUCCCUUCAUAUCUCAAAGAACAAAAAAUUGCAAAAUUAAUAUAUAUAAAGAGGAAGAAGUUAUGAAUCUGCCUUUCACCAAUUUUUUCUUCCACUAUAUGCCUUUCAUCCAAGAGUUGAGGUCUAUAUAUGGCAGCGAAGAAGAUAUGACAGAGGGGAAGAGAGAGAGGAUCUGAGAGAAGAGAGAAGAGAAGAGAAGAGAAGAGAAGAAGGGACGAGAGAAAGAAGAAGAAGAAGAGAGAGAAGAGAUAAUAGAGAAGACAGAGAAGACAUAGAAGAAGAGAACAUAGAAGAAGAGAGAUGGCUGGAGGCGUGCUCUCUGGCUUCGAAACCCACGUCUAGGGUUGGGUUUCUGAGCCCCAAUUAUUUGGGAUUUGGAUCCAAGGCCCAUAUCUAGUCCUAGACACACUUUAAGCCCACCAAACAAUGACUAGGACUCAUUUUCAUUUUUAAUUGAAAAUAUCCAGUCCAGUCUAGCUUACCAAACGGGGCCUUAAAGAACCCUUGCAUUUGGUGCCAACUGCCCAUUCCAUGACUGCUUCAAACAGAAUGAACAACAAUACAAUGAGCUGUAGCUUCCCAGACUUGCAAACAUAAAUUAAAUUCAAUUGAGUGAGAUGUGGGAGCAAAUAUUUCUUAGACAUCACGUGGACAAGAAGAAUAUCCCAUAGGUUAAUUAAUUGAGCCCAUUUAUUUCGCCAAUUAAUUAAUAAUAAUAGAGAUAUUAUCUUUAUUUAAUGAAAUAAUAUCACCAAUUUGGAGAUUCAUCAUCAAGUUAGGAGAUUUGAUCCCAAUCAAAUCCCUAAUGGACUCAGUCCCUACAACUUAGGGAAAGAAUAACUCCUUCCAAAUAAGAGUUUAUUCUUUGAAAAACCCUAGAUGCUUAGAGCCCUAUAAAUAUAUGGCUUCAUUCAACAUUCAAGGUAAUCCAAUUUCUACAUGAGAAAACCUUACACACACACUCUUUCUUCCUCUCUCUCUCUCUCUCUCUCUCUCUCUCUCUCUCUCUCUCUCUCUCACUCCACCGCCCCUCUCUCCAUAUUUUCUCAUUACAGCUCCGGCCACCCGGUUCUCCCCGAUAGAGAAAACUUCGUACCCUUUUUUAGCUAUUGUUUUACCUAGAAACAAUCGAACUAACUUAGGCAUCGGAGGGCUUUUGGCCAACAUCCCAGAGUGUGGUCUAUUUACUUCAGUAUUUUUUACAAGAAUCGAGGAAGAGAGAGAAGGAAAUUCAAAGGUUAAAGGAUCUUUAAGUGGAUAUUCUCCUGUGAGAAUAUUUGCACAAACAUUUGGUGCUUUCAUUAAGAGCAUGACUUAUACUCAACGCGCGCUCUUAAAUUUGUUUCCUCAUAUUCAUCAUACAACCAAAGCCUUCUAAACAACCAUGGCAGGAAGCAAACACACCAGGAGCAAGACCAUCGCGAUGGCCCAAUUCGCUACGGGCUUGGGCCACCACAAUGUCGCGGCUCCAAGGUGUCCCAUGCUGUGGUCGAAGUCGUGACUCACCCUCACGGCUCCACCGCCCCUCCUCCUCUCGGUCCCGUGUUUAAGAGCACCAUCUCAAUGGGUGCCGCCGCCCCACCUCAGGGCUUCACAAUUGAAGGAGUGCCACAGCCGCUGGAGCCACCUCACCAUCGCACUGCCCCAUGGCUGAAAUUGGCAUACUCCUCCACGGUAACACUACCGUGACCUCACUGCCACAUCCCCAUGCGCCGGGUCCAAGCAAUCCUCCUCCACGUGGCCUCGCCACUGGAUUCAAAGCCCACUAUCAUGGUGCCACCUCCACACAAGGUGGAGCUUCCCAUCACUGCAAUCCCGCCCCAUCAUGAGUUACGGCCUGGUCUUGGAACAACUUCACUCAUUCCCUUCUUUGUCGCCACGCUCGAAAUAAGCUACUGCAUACACCUCUAACGAAACCCUAGCCCAUGUACAAUUGGGCUCUAUGAAGUCAAGUAGACUUCUGUCUUAAAGUUGACUAACUCACCAUGAGAAUGGACGACCAAAAUGAGUUGGUGAGGCAGCUCCUCAACCAAAUAGACUUGGUCCAAAAUCUAGGCCUUGGGCUGUAGGGCGAAGAGAGAAGGAUGGGCGAAUGCACUGACAGGCAGUUCGAGAGGUCCCAAGUAAGUUGAGCAGGAGGUAGCAGAUAAGGAGAAGGACAAUAACGUGAUCAGCAUGCUCGCAUGUCACAAGCAUCCGAGGGUCAUGCUCAAAGCAUACUAAGUCUUUAAUCUAGAUUGAGUUCAGAUCCAACAUGAGAGAGAAGCUAGGUAUGCGACCCAACUUUCACGCCUGCCUAGGCCCACAAGAAAAUGGUCAUGAGAGGCUAGGCCUUUAGGGAGGUCAACCUGACGACCCUCACAAUGAGGUUCGUGAAGAAAAGGGCUCCGUUGCCCGCUCUCGAAGAACCAAUUCCCUUCGACAAGACACAGAGAAUCCCUCGCAAGCGCAGUCCACCAAUAGGCCACAUAGGCAAGAGAACCGAGAAGGUCGGCCCUUGCGAGCCAAAAAGGAAGUCAAUUAGUGACGCUCAAAUCAUGAAGGUCACCAGCAUGACCAGCAGGCCAUGUGCAUAAUUGGCUUCGAGAUUUGAAGAUUUUGAAGACGUUUUCCACAAGGAGGUAGACCAAGAAAACUCUUCACCUUUCACCACCGAAAUUAAAUAGGUUGCUCUCCCAGAGAGAUUCUCCACGCCUUCUUUCACACACUUCAAAGGGGAUUCUGAUCCCGAGAGCCAUAUGAAGCACUUCAAGAGUGUUAUGAUUCUCUACAAGGCCAAAGAUGCAUUGAUGUGCAAAGUGUUUGUCAUGACUUUGUGAUGGGCAUCCCAGGAUUGGUUCCACACCCUGCCAUCCGGGUCGAUCAGCAGCUUCAAGGAGCUAGCUUUUGUUUUCACCAGGGAGUACACUUCUUAUUGAACGAUUAAGAAGAACCUGGACCACUUGUGGAACCUGCAUAAGAAGUCUGAUGAAUCCCUUCGAGAUUACAUCAAGAGAUUCAAAGCAGAAAAUGCAAACAUUGUAGGAUGCGAUGACUGAAUCGCAUCCUCUACCUUCGAGAAAGGCUUGCCAGCUGAGCAUGACUUAUACCACGAAUUGACUAUCGCUCCCAGCCAUACUUUGGCAGAGGUCUUCACGACCAUGGAACGCUACAGGCUCUGGGAUGACGAUUGAAUCGCCGCAAAAAAAUUAUGCCAAGCAGGAAGAUCAGCUGACCAAGCAAGCAGGUCAGAGAAAUGACAGGUUCAGUGGUAAGAAUAAAGACAAGCACAAGUCAUGCCCUCGAGGAGAUGCUUCAACAAAAGAGAACUAUACCAAGUUCUCCAUCCCCAUACAUCAAAUCUUAGCACAAGUGAAGGACAAGCCUUGGGUAAAGAGACCACCACCCUUGAAAGAAGACUUGGACAAGAGAUGCCCGAAAAUACUUUGCCUUCUAUAGGACACAUGGACACUACACGAAUAACAACUUUUCCUGGAGAAUGCACCUCAGAGAACUUGUAAAAGAAGGCCAUUGCACCAAGUUUGUUGAAAAGAAAUCCAUCCAUCGUGACGUGGCCAAGGAACCUCCUUCGAAGGUUAUAAGGAUUAACACGAUCCUGGCUGACUUCUAGGAAUCAGGGCUGACUAGUAAAGAAAAGAAGAGGAAGAUUAAAUAGGUUAUUAUUAUCUCCCAAGUCUCAACUAGCCUCCCAUCAGUGGAAGACGAUCCCAUGAUCGGCUUCCAAAAGAAAGAUCUAAUUGGUCUUGAUCUGCCACACAACUACUCCCUCAUCAUUAACAUUCAAAUGGCUCAGGCCAUGGUCGACCGAAUCCACGUAGAUGAGGAAACCGCAGUUAACAUCCUACAAUUGGUGAUCAUCCAGCAGAUGGGCCUGUAGACGAAGAUCAACAAAUUGGCCAAGCCACUGACCGGCUUCAACGGCUCGACUAUGGUUACCGUUGGCACGAUAGUCCUGAACGUCUAUUUCUCACCAGUGAUCAGCUCGCAAUCCCUUAUGGUCAUUGAUGAAAUCUCCUCCUACAAUGGCAUUAUGGGUAGACCAUGGAUUAGCAAGAUCAACGCCAUCACAUCUACCACGCAUCAGAAAAUCCGUUACUUAAUCCUUGGGAGUAGUGUCGGUUAGGUCAAUAGUGAUCAGGCAAUGGUGAAAAAAAUCCUCAGCUCAAGAGCUGAGGAAAAGCAAGAAAGUGCAGUUAGUCCUUGUAAAUCAAGUAGAUAUGAAGGGAGCAGAACUAGAUGAGGAAAAAAUAGAUCCUAUUCUUGACAGUCGAGCAGACCGGAAAGGGAUGGAAGCCCAAAGAGGACGUUGAGCUAGUACCUAUUGAUCCUGACAAGCCAGAGAGAAUAGCGUGGAUCGGCUCGCGCCUAAGCCAAGAAGAGACGGUAGAGCUUGUAGCCAUCCUCCAAAACAACAAGGACAUGUUCGCAUGGUCGCCAUCAAACAUGCCAGGCAUUAAUCCCCAGAUCAUCUGCCAUUGUCUUCAUGUCAACCCAACCAGCAAACUAGUGGAGCAGAAGAGACGCAACUCCACUCUCGAGCGAUUUGCCAUCAUUGAAGCCGAGAUCGACAAGCUUCUAACUGCCGGCUUCAUUGAAGAAGUCUCCUAUGCAUAAUGGCUGGCCAAUUUUGUUCUAGCGGCAAAGAAAGACCAAGACAAGUGGUGAGUAUGCAUCGAUUACACCGACCUCAAUAAGGCAUGCCCUAAAGAUAACUUUCCACUGCAAAGAAUUAAUCAGUUUGUAUAUUCAACUUUCAACAAUUAACUGCUAAGCUUUAUAGACGCCUACUCUAGCUAUAAUUAAAUCAUGAUGGAUGAAGAUGACAAAGCAAAAACUCAUUCAUCAUCGAAAUGGGUACAUAUUGCUACAAAGUCAUUCUCCUUGGACUGAAGAACGCCGGAGCAACCUACCAAAAGCUGGUGAACAAAAUUUUCAAGGAGUAAAUUGGCAAGACUAUGGAGGUCUAUGUAAAUUGACAUGCUAGUUAAAGCUUCCCAACGAGUAGACCACAUCAAGAAUCUUGUCGAAGCAUUCAGCCUGCUCCGAAAAUAUAACAUGAAUUUGAAUCCAAGCAAGUGCACAUUUGGAGUCUCGUCCGGCCGAUUUGUGGGAUACUUAGUCACCCAAAGAGGCAUUGAAGCACAUCCGAAUAAAUUAAAGCCAUACUCAACAUGAAGUCACCUGCCACAACAAAGGAGAUACAAAGUCUAACAGGUAGAGCAGUAGCUUUCAACUGAUUCCUCUCGAGUUCUACCGAUAAGUGCAGGUCAUUUUUCAAAGCCUUGAAGAAAGGACAAAAAGACAAAUGGGAUGAAUAGUGAGAAGUAGCUUUUCAAAACUUGAAGACCUACCUUACUUUACUUCCCCUGCUCUAAAAAAUGACACUAGGGAAUGAUCUGUUCAUCUACCUGGCGGUGUCUAACUCAGCAGUCAGCACAACUCUCAUUUGAGAAGAGCUGGAGGCACAACAUUUGGUAUUCUACACGUCAAAACCCUCCUCAAUGCAGAGACUAGCUAUCCAAAAAUGGAGAGGCUCAUUUUUUUGCUUGCAGUUUCUGCAAGAAAAUUAAAACCCUACUAUCAAGCUCACCGGAUAAUCGUUAUGAUGGAAUUUCAUUUGAGAUCAAUUCUUCAUAGCCCAAACGCUUCUCAGUGACUCAUGAAAUGGGUUAUCGAACUCAGUCAAUACGACUUCCUCUACCGGUCAAAGACUGCUAUAAAAGCCUAGACUUUAGCUGAUUUUGUUGUAGAGUUUACUCCGACAGCCGAAGAAGAGAAGUUGGUCACAAAAAGCAAGGAGAAUUCGAGAGUAGACUACACCUCCUCUGCCGAUCUAGAUCUGCCCAAAGACAUGUGGCACUACAUGUACACGGAGCAUCAAAUCAUAAGGGAGCUGGAGCAAGCGUCAUCAUAAGCACCCCAGAUGGAACUCUGUUAGAACAAGCCAUAAUACUGGGCUUUCCAGCUUCAAACAAAGAAGCAUAAUAUGAGGCAUUGCUCUUCAGGUUGCACCUAGCAAAAGAAUUGUCGAUCAAGAGAUUGGCCAUCUACUCAGACUCUAAGCUGAUCACGAAUCAAGCUUUAGGCGAGUGCAUGGCAAAACAUUCGAGAAUGAUCUAGUACCUCGACAAAGUCUAAAGACUUUUGAAAGAAUUCCCCAUUUUCACCAUCCAACAAGCUCCUCAGGCAUAGAACACUCAUGCAGAUGCAUUGGCAAGUUUAGGAUCAGCACUGGAUACCCAAUUCAGACGCUCCAUCCCUGUUGAACACCUCAACCGGCAAAGCAUCGAAGAAAUACAGCAAGUCCACUCGAUGCAGAUCGAUGAAGACCCUGGCUGGCAAGAUCCCAUCUUUGACUACUUGGUGAAUGAAAAUCUGACAACGAAUAAGUCCGAAGCUAGGAAGGUCCAACAGAAGGUUGCGAGGUACUACAAGCUCAUUUGCAAAUCAUACUCCGGCCCUCACCUCACAUGCAUAAAGUCCUCUGCAAAAUCCACGACUACGAGUAUGGCAACCACUAUGGUGGCAGGUCACUCUCUUAGAAGGCUCUAAACAUAGGGUAUUUCUGGCCUACCUACAUCAUGACUCCACUGACUAUGUCAAAAGAUGUGAUCACUGCCAGGGGUACAAGUCGGUUCCUAACAUGCAUGCUGAAGUCUACCAUCCAUAGAACAAUCCAUGGUCAUUCUUGCAAUGGGCCAUUGAUCUAGUAGGUCCGCUCUGGUGCCCGCCAAGAAAGACAUGAUGAUCGUCGCCAUUGAAUACUUUACUAAAUAGAUCAAGGCCGAAGCUCUGUCCCCUACUAAAGAAGCCGACGUGGAUCUCGCAUAUUGUGCGAUUCCCGGGUUCAAUACAGUUGAGCCGUUGGAUCCUAAUCAUUUUUAGAUAUGUUAAUCUAGACAUUUCCCGGAUCGUGAAUCGAUAUCCCGGAUACUUCAAAAUCGCGAACCCUUGGGCUAGGGUUUUAGAAAUCACUCGAUUGUAUGAUCGUGAUCAACCCGACCGUCCGAUCGAGAUCAAACUCUCGGGACAUAUGUCCUGAGUAUAUUGGAACUUCUAGAGGUUUUCGGAUAAUAAUUUUGAGGUCGUGGACCCGCGGGGUCCUAGGUUGACUUUUUGGGACUUUAGCGUUUUUUGAGUCCCGAGAUACUUAUAAACUAUUCCAAAUGGAAAGAAAGCUUUUAUGGGCAUAGGAACAAAUGUAAUUUGAUGCACGCACUUCUACGAGCCGGGGGUCAGGAUUUUUAAUUUAAUACUAUAUUGAGUAUUGUAUUAAUAGAAUAUGAUGGUAAUUGAAUCAGGCAUCCGGACACCAGUUGACCCGCAUGAGGGACCUUCAAGAGGUCCAGCGAGCAGGGACCAGCAGUGAGUGGACUCUUUGUUUUUAUAAAUGAAUUUAAGCAAUUCAGUUACAGUAUUUGAUCUUGAAUAAGUUUUAUUCAAAGAUUAGUGUUUUAUAAGCUGUUAUAUGCUUUUAAAUAUUUUGUUUUGCAUGAUGCCGAGUGGAAUAUCCUUUAAGGAUAUAAGGAAAGAGAAUUUUAGCUAAAUAUCAUAUAAAUGGCAGCAGAGUUCUAGAUUUAACAGAAAUUCAGUUGUUCACCAGAUUUUUCAGAAACUUUAUAUUUUCUUAAACCACCUUAGGUACCCAGAUAUACAGAUGUUGCCUUCGGUAAAUAAGUUGCCUUCAGAUAAAUUUGUUGCGUUCGGAUUUUAUUGGUUGCCUUCGGUUUAGUCAGCAUGCUUGACAGUUGGCCCACGAGUUCUAUGGUACCCGGACUCGUGCGGAGCGAGAAAUGCGGAUUAGGCUGACUACGGUCCCUGAAUCCUGCGAGUUGCGGCUCGGAUUGACCUUGUGUCACCGAGACCUGCGAGUAUGUGUCACCAAUGGUGAUGCGAGGAAUUGACGGAUAUUAGGUAUUGACGGAAAUAAGGGGUACACCAAGAUGGUAGUUUUAAACUGUUUUCAAUGCUUUUAAGAGAUUAAUGUUGACCAUGAGUAUGAUUGGCAUAUAUAUAUAUAUGUAUAAAUAGAUGAAUGCAUUGAUUUCAAUACAAAUAUAAUAAAGAGAAUGAUUUAGUUUUGUAUAACUAUUUUUUUUACAGUGGGGUUAGUAUGUUCAUAUGUAUUUUCUAAACUUUGUUUUUGGGUCCACUUACCUUUUCAAUGUUUUGCGCCCCCAGGAAGUAGGCAUGCACAGUGAUCCACCACCAGGCCGUUUUCCACCUUCCGCGCUUUCCUUUCUAAUGUAGGACUUUUCUGUAAAAGAAUUGACUCCUUUUGUAAAUUCUUAGUAGUCGCUCUGAUAAUUUGCCCUAAAAUUAGAAUUUAACUGUUGGAAUGUAUUUAUAUACGUAUGCUGGCAGUUGGUGUGUAUAUAUGCUUGUUUGACAGGUGUAAAUUUUGGAAAUUGAUCCAGUUACAAGGAAGACUCUACCGAAUUUUCGGUAGGAGUCAACCUUGUUUAUUUAUUGUACUUUGUAGGGAAGGGCAAUUAGGUCAUUCAUGCCUGACACCCGCCAGGUGCAGACACGCGCAGGGUCCGACUCGGAUUCCAAAGUGGAAUUUGGGUCGGGUCCUGUCAAAGCCAAUCCAAGAUAGUCCCAGUAUUUAGUCCAGUCCACGACAGUCCACCGUACCAAAUGAGCCCUUAGGGAUUUUUAUCUUUAGCACCCAUAGGAUGCCCACGCUUUAGGCAUGCCUUUGAUGUAUUAUCAUGUUGUCCUUCAAGGAUAUCAAUCCUUGCUUGAGUAUUUACAGCUGGUAUAUAAGACUUCAUUACUUUCUUUGUAUCAGUAAAUGCGUCCAGUAAUUGAUUUGCAAUUCUCUGCAAAUGAAUGAUCCUUUGAACUUCAUGUUCACUUUGAUUUGUAUGUGGAUCAAGAUGAGAUAGUGAUGAUAGAUUCCAUGUAAUUUCACGCCGUUCUUCUGGAAGCGGUACUUCUUCUCCCCUUAACAGCGGGAAAAUUGUCUAAUUAAAGUGACAAUCCGCAAAUCGGGCUAAAAAUAUCUCACCUAUUAAGGGUUCAAGAUAUCUAAUGAUGGAUGGAGAAUUAAAUCCAAUGUAUAUUUCAAGACGUCAUUGGUGGCCUAUCUUAAUUCGUUGUGGUGGAGAAAUUGGAACAUAAACAGCACAACCAAAAAUCCUUAAAUGAGAAAUAUUGGGUUGUUGUCAGAAAACAAGUUCUAAUGGAAAAUAUUGAUGAAUAGAAGUAGGGGUUGGCAUCGGAAAAAAAGAACCGAUCAAUUGAACCAAACCGGAUCGGAAAAAAUUGAAAAAAACCAUGUUGACCAAAAAGUCAAACCAAAUUCAAAAAAGCGAACCGAACCGGUUCUAACCGAUUCGCGUUCCAGAUCUAUACAAACCGAACUGGGCCUAACUGGCCAAAUUAAAAUAUAUAUAUUUAAUAUUUAUUUAUAUCCAAUGCUAUAUUUUUAAUCUCAUAACUAAUAUUUACCCAAGCUCAAUUUCAAAACAUCUCUCUUUUCUUGCCUAAAUAUUUCUUUUUGUAUGAAAUUGGGUAAUUUGUUAAUUUUCAAGCCAACAAAAAUAAAAUUUCAGUUGAAAUUUGUAUUAAAAAAUAAUUUGAAAUAAUAAUAAUAAUAAUCUGGUUCAAAACUGAACUAGACCAAAACUGAUUCAACCCGAACUGAACUAUUUUAUAAAUUUUUUUUGUUAAAAUUAGGUAAAUAGGCUCGAACUGAACCAGGUAAAUAGGCUCGAACCGGACUGUGCCCACCCCUAAAUAGAAGUUGGAUGAAUGCGUACUAAAGAUGCGGCAUGUAAUAUAGCAUGUCCCCAGGUCGAAAGUGGGUAAUUGUGAUUUUAAAAGCACAGGUGUAGCAAUCAUUUGAAGGCGUUUGAUAAAAUUUUCUGCUAAGCCAUUUUAAGUAUGAGUGUGUGCAAUAGGGUGUUCAACAUUAAUACCAAUUAACAUGCAAUAAUCAUCAAAUGCUUGAGAUGUGAAUUCAUCAACAUUAUCAAGACGAAUAGUUUUAAUGGGAUAAUCAGGAAAUUAUGCCUUUUAUUUGAUUAUUUGAACAAGAAGUUUUGCAAAAGUAAUCGACCGUGUAGAAAGUAAGCAAAAUGUGACUAUCUAGGUGUACAUCUAUUAAUACCAUAAAAUAAUGAAAAGGUCCAAAUAAUGGGUGAAUAGGUCCACAUAUAUCUCUUUAGAUUCGCCGUAAAAACAUGGGAGAUUCACCAACAACUUUUACCAAUGAUGGUCUAAUGACAAAGUUUCCUUGUGAGAAAGCCUCGCAUGGACAGUCAUUAUAUGAAAGAAUCUUGGGAAAUAGCCCUAAAUGCCACCAUGUUUAUAAUUGUAACUGAAAAUACCACCCUUUUUUAAAAAAUUUGGAACUAUAACCUAUAAAUAUAUAUUUAUUGUCCCCUUAUUGCACACAUAUCACUUUUGCUGAAAUUUUAUUCUCUCUGUUUUGCAAAAGUUCUCUCUCGGCUCUCUCUCUUGGCUCCGCUCUGUUUCUCUUCACUCUCCCGUGGCUUUGCUCUGACUCUCUCAUCUCUCGUCGCUCAGCUCUGAAUCUCUCGUCGCUCAGCUCUCAAUCUCUCGUCGCUCAGCUCCGACUCUCUCUUCUCUCUUCCUCUCCCAGCGACAGGUACUGUUCAUCGGCAUUUUCUUACAGUUUAAGGGUUUCUCUGAAGUUGGUUUAGGGUUUAUGCAUUUCUCUGAAAUUGGUUGAGGGGUUUGUUUGAAAUUGGUUGAAGGUUUAGGGGUUUCUCUGAAAUUAGUUUAGGGGUUUGUUCGAAAUUGAUUGAAGGUUUAGGGGUUUCUCUGAAAUUGGUUUAGGGGUUUCAUCGAAAUUGGUUUUGGGGUUUCUCUGAAAUGAUCUUAGUAUGAUGAUUCCUUGUUUCAAACAGUGAAUGGGUUUGUUCUUUGUGGACUGAUGCUUGCACUGCUGUUGUGUUGCUGUUGCUAUUGCUGUCGUAUUGUGUUUUUUUGCUAGUGUAUUGCUAAUGUAGUGAUGUUGUGUUGGCAUUUUAGUGCUGUUGUAUUUUUAGUUUUAUUAUGGUUUUAUUAUGGUUUUUGUAGCAGUUAUUGAUUGGUAUUUGGUGGCUUAGUAUGAGUCUUUAUGACCAUUGCAUUUAACCUUCUUACAAGUCUAAUUGGUAUCUAUUUUGUUUGUUGAAGAUGAUAUCUAAAGUGUAAGACAAUUAACCUGUGUAUAUCAUUUUGAACUUGUAAACUCCCAACCAUAUCAUACUUUUUGUUUGAGAAUAAUGCUUGUUAAUUCGACAUAUUUUUUUAUAACUCUGUUUACUAAGUUUAGGGCUUGCAUAUUGGAUAUGGAUGAGUUUUCUUUAGAACCAUAUGUGGUGUAAUAUGAGUUCUUUAAAAGUUUGCUAUUUUCUGCUUGAUCAUUGUGUGCUUAAAAGAAAGCGGGAAAUGAGUGAAGAUGAGAACCUACCACCAGCAGGUGUGGUUUAGAGAAAUGGGGACAUUGAUUUUGCUAUAAACUAACUGUUUAAGCUUUUGCUUUUCUUGUUUGUGUAUGGAUACUUAGAGAACUCUGUUUAUGAGGAGAACUUAUAAUUUUGUAAUUGUACAUGUCUUACAAACAUUUUAUACAGUUUUGAUGGUUUAUUUAUGAAUUUAUCUUUGAUAUUUUGUUAAGAAAAAACUGAAGGGAUGGUGCCAAUUUCUUUCAUUUUCUUACAUUUGAAAGGAGGGCCAUAGUAGAGUCAGUAUUGUGGUUGCCACUAAUUCAUAGGAUGUUCCAUUACAUUAUACCUUGAAGUGAAUCAAUUGUUUCCCGAUGUCUUGUUGUUUUUUAAAACUCUUUCUAGUAAGAUAGAUUUGUAUCGUUAGUCUUGAAUUGUUCUGAAUUAGGCUUGUGCUACCGCACAUUCCCAUUCUAGCUGAAGCUGUCUCAUGAUUAGAUGGUGUGAUUAUAUGGUGUGUUGAGAUGUGUGUUUAGAUAUUAUAUUAUGCAGGAGUGGUAGAGUACUGGGUGUCUUGAAACUUGGCUUUGAGCCAUUAAAUUAGGAGGUCAGUUGUAAAUAGCUGGGGUUUUGUUUAUGAUAUGUAUUUUUUGUUUUUUUUUUUCACUUCAUAUCCUAUAAUAGGCUGUUGAUAAGUGGUGGUUGUUUAUUGCUUGUUAUUGUCUAGAUUGCAACCGACUGAAAUUUUGUUUAUAAUAUUGGCAUGCAGGGAAAUAUGAUUGGUCAAAUGAAGUUGAUGAUUGCAGAGGAACAAAAGUUCCAAGGGAAAGCAUUGUCGCUAUCCCAUACGAAGACCGCAAUCACUACGAUAAAGGAGAAAUUCACUGAACAGCAGCUGCAAAUGUUUGAACAGAGUUGUUUUGGUCAUCUCCUACGGAUUGAGGACCUCAAGUGGACUUCUCCAAUUGUCCACGGCUUGCUGCUCAGGAAAGCUGAUCCCAAGACAGUUUCCCAACUGAACGGGAUCAAAUUCAUUGUUGGCAAUAAGGUCAUCCAAUUCACGGCGCAGCAAUUUUGCAUCGUGACAGGGCUAAGGUUUGGAAACCUUCCCUUUAUUCCGAUUCCCACUAAUGAGAACUGCUCAUUGAAACGGAAGUACUUUGCUAACGAUAAAACUGUGAACCUGUUGGAAUUAGAAAAGGCCUUCCUCGAAUGCGAUGAUGUGGACGAUGUAUUGAAGCUCGGAUUCGUAUACUUUGCUGUGUUUGUGCUGUUGGGCAAUGAAAAACAUGUCCAUAUUGACAUGCGAUAUUUGAAGUUGGCGGAAGACCUUGAAGACUUUGGGAAGUAUCCAUGGGGUGCUGUGUGUUAUGCGAAGACAAAUGCGUCACUGCUGAGGGCACUUUGUGCAGAUUACCAGCGAGUGAAAGUGCCCACAAAAACUGCAAAAACAAAAAAAUCUGGAAAGAAACCAACAACAACGGCAACUGGUAGACCAAGAGAGUACCACCUCAAAGGUUUUGCCUAUGCACUUCAGGUGAGCAAAUGUCCAUUGAUGUUGAAGUUAAAUUGCAUUUGUUUACAAUGACUGACCUUUUAUUCCUCAAACCAGAUUUGGGCAUAUGAGGUAUUUCCAGCUUUGGCUGCACUACAUUUGGUGGUGCACGAAGAUAAUGCGUACAUCCCUCGUUUACUACAUUGGAGGAGCAAUAGUUCGCUGCGUUUUUAUGAGCUAAUGAGCCAAGUAUUCGAGAACCGUGAGGUUAGUUCAGUUUUUAAUGAUAAUGUUAGGGAUAUGAAAAUAUAAUAUAAUUAGUUUACUGAUAUGUAUAUUGUAUGUGUAAAUUGCAGGUUGAUGUGCAGCUUCUCCGGCCAUCUGUAAUGGACAAGUUGCAGCCAUAUUGGACUUGGGGUGACAGUGCUGACGACACUGAAGAACUUGUUGACUUGUUGGGCGAUGACGCUGAACAAAAAACCGGCACUUCUGCCUCUGUAGAAGAAAAAGAUGAGGACAUUGACGAAACUGCUAGCCUUCCGUCGUCUUCUAAGGCAAGCAUUAAUUUUGUUUCCAAGAUAUACGUCAUAAUACAAUAGGAAAAAAGCUGCUGUAUUGUUGCAAUAUAAUUUGGAAAUAUUGUAACACUUGCGUUAUAAUUGAAUGCAGGGUACAGUCGCGUCCACUGAGUUAUGUACUUUGAAGCCUGACUUUCAAAGGACAAAGGAUGAAUUGGCCAAAGUUGCCAUAUCAAAUCGAGCGCUUCGCAACAGAGUGCAUCAGUUGGAAGACAUGGUACGGAAGGAGUCAUUGAAAGUUGAAAGAGAGUUCGAAAAAAAUAAAAAGUGUGUGGAGGAUUUCCGCAACACCCUGGCUUCAAUGGAGCAUUCUUUUAAGGUGGAGAUAGAGCAACUGAAAAUACGAAAUCGUGGGGUGAAUGAAGGUGGGGAAGGACAUGAGGACCUCGGUAGUCCUCAUAUGAAUGAAGGAGCAACCGAUGACUUCUCGCCUCCACAUGAGUAUGUUAGUCCGCCUACAGAACCGGCAGUAAUGGAAACACAAGUCCCCGCUGAUGGAGCCAAACCAUCCGCAGCCAUUGUAGUCGAAGAGGCAGCAAUGACUGCUGCAGUUGCUGACUUAGAAGUGCAUGAAGCAGCUGAGCAGGCACAAUCUGAGAAGCUGCCUACCCCGGAAGAUGUGGCCGGGUGUGACGAAAUCUGCCAAAGAGUGUUGUUUUUGUUGCAAGAUUGGAAAAAGACUCAGAGUAUGCCAUCGGGAGGUCCAAUGAAUCCUCCAAGUCUACCCACAGUUAGUAUGGCUGGUGAUGAAGAAGGGAGUUCGAGUGUUGAAAAAAAGGAAGUGGAAGGUAAAGGGUGCAGACAGAAGCGCCCGACGCAGACAUUGUUGAGCCCAUUUACUGAUCCUUUGAGGAAGAAGAGGACGAUGAGUGUGUCGGCCGCGAUUGCAACCCCGCCAUGUUUUGAUCCAACAAAAUCCGUGCCCAUUGAAGAUGUGAAGGCAGUAAUAGAGUUUUGCACUGCCUGGAAAAACGAUAUCAUGUUAGGUUCUUUACCUUUGAAAUCCAAUCUUCAUCCUAUUCUAGUAUGUAGUCAUAGACUAAUGACAAAAUGUAGAGUUUGCUUUAAUAUACUUAUGUAUUUUUGUCGGAAUUAUGAGAUGAGCACAAAAGUAAUCGUUGCAAGUUUGCCUUUUGUAGUGCGGAGGUGCAGCUGGAAUCAUUUUCAGUGGGCGCAGAUUUUUUCUACAAACUUAUCGAUGACACAGAAUGGGUUAGCUCAAGGGUAAGAAUACACAAAGCUCUACUUUAUUACAAUAAUUCAAUUGUUUUCCCACCUUUUUUAAUUGUAGAGUUGUAUGAAAUUGUGCUCAUAGUAUAUAUGUCAACUUUCAGCACCUGGACAUGGCAACCUUUCUUAUCCGGAAAAGGCAACUCUCUCAUCCGUUGGUAUUUGGAACUGACUGGACAACGGCAGAUUAUUGCUUGCAGGUAAACAUGUUACCAGGUUACAUUCACUGGUUCAUUUGCUUUCGGUUGUGAUUUUCUAAUAUGCCUCCAUUUCAAUUUAUGCAGCAAUUUCUAGAGCCGUUGAAACCGACUGUGAAGAAACGUGGAGCGAAGAAGGCAGCUGCUUCAAACACCGUUGACCUUCCACCUAACAAGCUCAAGAAUAUACAUCACUAUGUGCGCGGUACGUGGCAGCACGGGUAUGGCCAAGCUUGGACAAAAGUCCGGAAGGUCUAUUUUCCAUAUAAUCUUCGAGGGUCCCACUGGGUUGCAAUCGUCAGACAUACUGCAACUGUGUAUGACUCCUAUGUUGCGUAUACCAAAUCUUAGAGGCUGGUUACACUGCUGCACCCUAUUAACGAUACGCUAGCACGAGUGCUGUACGAGAUGCACUUUUAUGAAGAUUCUGAGGUUGAAGAGGUUAAGCAAAAGGGGCUGCAGAUGUCGAGGUUUACGCCAUUCUCAGUUUGCAGCAUUGCAGGUCUUCCACAACAACGAGAUGGGUAAGCUUUGUCAAUUUAGUGUAGUUUAUCCAAAUUUUACAUAACUGCAGUUCUAAUUUCCCAACUUAUUGGCCUGACAGUACAUCUUGCGGAAUCAUGACCGUCAAAUUCAUCGAGCAUCUUAGUGCUGGGAUUUCGGUGGAUAAAGUUGACCCUUUGAAGAUCAAAUAUUACCGACUGAAGCUUGCAAUUGAGGGUUUAAGGGGGGAGGCAUAUUUAUGAGGUAAAUGUCUUAAUGUCCGUGAAUUCACCUCACUAUGGACUUAUGACUUGGGAAUUCACUUUGCUCAAACUUAUGUCAAGAACUCCUUCAUAUGAACAUGCAGACGUAGAUGCUUUAGUGGGGGUACUUCAUAUGGUCAUCAUGCCUUUUUGCUAGAGCUAGUUGGUUUAGAUAUUAUGGUGAGGUGUAAUAUUGUACAGUCUAGAAGCAGUGGCUAAUUGCCUUACAUGGCACACACACUGUUUCGAUUUUGAAAGUUAACUAUUUUGUACACCUCCAUAUAUGAAUAUAGUUGCUCUUUAUGGAUGCUUUUGUAGCCAUUGUUCACAUUUUUUGUCUGUGGUUUUGGGAAUCUGUUACUGGACUUACUGAAGCAUACAACUCUGUUAACAUUUCUCCAUUUAGUUUUGACUUAGUUCUUUGUAAAUAAUUGAUGCUCUUACUUUCAUUAGUUUGAUAUGAUUUCUUCUAAUAUGUGAUAUAUUUUUCUUCCCUUCAUAAUUGGACAUAAGAUAUGCAUCUUAGUGCUGGAAUGGACUGUUAUGUUUCCGUAAACUACUUAAUACUGAUUUGCCUACGCUGAACUGCCCAUUUUCCAUGCACAGAUAUUCAUAUUUUUUCAAAUUUGUUAGAAAUUUAUCAUUUUGUAAAAACUCUGGUUUGUUAGAGUGAAUGGUAAUAUGAGCAUGAUAGCUGUGGAUGAGUUUUUCUACUGUUGAUGAAAGCCAGUCCCUCCCUUCCUUUGUCCUUCUUGAUCUUACAAGGGCAAGCAAGCUGAUGGGGGUUACAAGAUUUGAUACCUAUCUUAAACAUUGUGAAGCUGAUAUGAGAAACAUUGCUAACAGAUUCUUGGUCCUGUCUAUUUCAGUGAGUGGCAGAAAUUCUUAUGAUUACUCUUAAUUAGUUUUAGGUGAUGGGGGUUACAAGAUUUGAUACCUAUCUUAAACAUUGUUUUAUGCUUGUUUUGGGUAAAUGAUUCUUCAGUACCUGUCUAUCGUUGAGCAACAUUCCUAUCAGUCAAACAUAUUCUCCAGAUGUCAAACGUGAGCUGUUGAUGCUUUCUUUACCUGCAAUUUUUGGUCAGGCCAUUGAUCCCUUAGCACAGCUAAUGGAGACUGCUUACAUUGGUAGAUUGGGUAUGUUUUCACUCCUUUAAAUGAGUUGAACGACUAAUAUUUGUAUAAUGCAUUGAACUUUGGAGCUUUUAUUCAAUGUUUUUGGCUUUUUUGUUUUUCCAUAGGUUUUGUGGAGUUGGCUUCAGCUGGUAUUUCAAUGAACAUCUUCAAUUAUAUAUCAAAGCUAUUUAAUAUCCCUCUCCUCAGUGUUGCUACAUCUUUUGUUACUGAAGAUCUUGCAAAGAGUGAACGUAUAGCUUCUACUUCAGGUGAAGUUUAACUUUUUUUAAUUACUUGCUCAUCUCUGUUGGACAUCAAUUUUGGUUAGGGUUCAUGUCUAAAUUAGAGCAUAGGUGACUUAAAAUUUCUCCAUUCGUAAUCUAAAUUCGGCUAAUCAUUGUACAGAAAAUGGUUGGCUAGGAGACAUUACUAAUGGUAAACCCGAACGUACUGAUGGAGUAACUGAGAGAAAGCAGCUAUCUUCAAUGUCUACAGCUUUACUAUUAUCAGUGGGGAUUGGGAUUUUUGAGGCCGUAGCCUUGUCUUUGGGAUCUGGAUUGUUUCUGAAUAUGAUGGCCAUAUCAAUGGUAGGUUCCCUGAUCUAAAAUUACAGCUCAUACUGAUUUGUUAUCUGCCUGCUGUUAUCUUUGUUUACAUAAACAUACAAACAUAUGUUUUCUGUGUGUACUGUGUACAUACAUGUUUACAUAUUUAUGUGAAUAAUUACUAUACAAUUUUGUAGGUCUAGUGUAUGUGUGGUUACUUAACAGGUGAUAGUAUAACUUUCGUGUAAUUUUAUUAAUUUCUGUGAGUCUGGGUGGGGGGAGCCAUAUGUUUUGUGUUUUUUCUUCUCUCAAGCUCUUGGCUUUGAAUUUUAAGCAAGAUUUUUCUUUUUUCUUGAAUAUCACAGGACUCACCUAUGCGCAUUCCUGCAGAACGGUUUCUUUCACUAAGACCAUUUUCUUACAACCACACAUGUACACACCUCUAUGUGUGUGUGUGUGUGUGUGUGUGUGUGUGUGUGUGUGUUACUGGUCUGUUAUUCUCGCAUAAUGUUUUUAUAACUUUGUCCCCAACUAGUUGGUUUCUAUUUGUCUUUAGUUAAGCUUGAGUGGUCCAUCUGGUUAAUUGAUGUAUUUUGCUUUGUGCAGGUAUUGGUAAUCUCCUAGCUGCAUUUUUAUUACCCAUCCUUAUGUAUUAUUUUGGUUUGGGUGUAACUGGUGCAGCCCUUUCCACUGUUAUAUCUCAGUAUGUGAUUUUCAAAACAGUUUCUGUUAAUAUUCCUUUUUUGCUUUACUUCGCAAAUGAACAUAUUUUGGAAUUUCUGUUUUCAGAUACACUGUCACCUUUUUAAUGAUCUGGUUUUUAAAUAAGAGAGCUAUACUAUUGCCUCCAAAGGUGGGAUCAUUGCAAUUUGGUGGAUACAUAAAAUCUGCUCAGUUCCUUUUCUUUUUCUUUAAACUUUUACCCUCUCAUAUAUCUGAAAAUAUAAGCCCUUUUUUUCAAGUGUUCUGCUUCAAUUAUUUGCUUGACUAUCAACACUAUCAUAAUAUUUGACUUUUUUCGUUUUCUGAUUGAGCAGUGCAUGUAUCUGGACAGUGUGUGUCUUAAUGUUUCAUUUUUUCUUUGUGAUGCUAGUUAAACCUCGAGAUAAUUCUCUCUUGUCUUCCUUUUCAAAGUUCUUUCCCUAAUUGCUUUUGUUUUCAACUCUGGGAUGAUACAUGUGGUUUUCUUCUUGGAACAACUCUUGCUGUUCUUACUACCUUGACAUUGGGAACAUCAAUGGCUGCUCGUCAAGGUCCAGUAGCUAUGGCUGCUCAUCAGAUAUGUAUACAAGUUUGGUUGGUUGUAUCCCUUCUAACUGAUGCAAUGGCUGCAUCUGGUCAGGUAUACUCUCUCUCAUUUUUUCAUCUCAGUUCGUAUGUACUCAUUUCCAUUUGGUGAUCCAGAUCAAUCAGUGGGUGAAGUCUAACUUUCAGUUUUACUUCACCCCGAGUGUGGAAUUCUUUUCCUAUUUUAACUGGACCAAAUUUCACAGAUUUUUGUCUGCAAAUUGGGGUUUUGUGAUGAAAUGUGUGUCUUUGCAUUUGACAUCAAAUUUACACAGCUAAAAUGUGUUUGUUUGUAGGCCCUGAUUGCUACUUAUUUAUGUAAAGGUGAAUACAAAAUUGUGAAAGAAGUUGCUGACUCCGUGUUAAAGGUAUAGCUUUUUUUUAUCAUCUAUAAUUACAUGGAUGCUCCCAGAUUUGCCUGAUCUUUGGUGUAGUUUCGUUAUGUUGCAUAUCAGAAAAAGAACCAACUGAAUUCAUCGCACCAUCCAAAAAUUAAAUUUAAGUCAUGCCACUUUCUUGCAGGGUCUAAAAGAAAUGGUUGAGUGUUUGUCUGGAACUUUGACUAAGUCAACUGAUGCUAUUGGGCAAGACGAUAUUGAAGGUCCAGGAAUGAAACCAACAAACCUCCUGAGGUUUGAAUAAGAACUCUGUUAUCUAGUAUUUACAUCAUUCUUGAACAUUGUAAUGGAGCCCAUCUGCUUGUAUGCAUAUGUGAUGAUUUAUGCUGAGGUUCCCAUUUAUAGCAUGCCUCUUUUUUCUUUUUUACUUUGCUUUUUUACUUUUCGCUGGUCAUAAUGUGCGUGGCCGGUAGAUGCAUUUGGCACUAUUGAACUGACUCGGUGGCAGUACAAAUUACCAUAGGUCCUAUCUGAACUGCCCUCAUCAUGCUCAUCUGUACUUAACCUAGUUGUUUUUGCAUGUUGGUCUCAACCAAGUGUUGAUUGCAAUAUUCUAAACAAGAUGACCAUAUACUGUUAUUUGAUGUAGGUAUACGUAUGAGAUGGCUUAGCUUUAAUUGGUUUAGUUGUUCCAAGUUUUAUGUACACAAUCUCACAGUAACUGCCGAGUUGUUUUUCACUUCUCGUAUUUCUCCGUGGUAUUUAUUCGCUCAUAUUCUGCUUAUGGAGAUGAAGUAAAAAUUACUGUGGAGCUUAUAGUAUGUUUAGUUUAUUUUGUGGGCAUGACUUAUGUUCUUGAUAACCCUUUUUCUACAAAAUCUCUAGUUUCUGUCAUCUGAAGUCUUUUCAGUCAUUCAAGUUAAAAAAUCUCCAACCCACUUUGGAAUGGCAGAACAAGUGUUAGAAGGCCAUAAAGAAAUAGCCACAAGUUCUGAUACAUGUACAUAAAAAGUGUGAAGUUCAAACCUACAGACGACAAGGGAAGAAGGAAGCUCUGUCCCAUAGAGGUGAUCCAUGGAGUAAACAUGUUUAUGCCACCAUUCCAAAUUGACUGGCCCCUCGAAUUGCACAAUGGCAAUAUGCUCUCCUCCUGCGACUCUAAAGUAGGCAAAACACUGGUGUUGGAAGGACAUGUAACAGGGUUAUUGUGCAUUCCAUUGUACAAGCUUGAAUGGAUUUUAUUUUCUGUUGUAUUUGGCCCUUCUCUUUUGAAGCAUGCCAAAAAUCAUCCUGGUUUCGUAAUAUGUGGUUUGUGGCCAAUUCAUUUACCGUGGAUGUUGCAUUUUUGUACCCAAUAUUUGAUAGCUGCCUUCUUUUGAAGGACAAUUAAUUGAGGGAGAGAAUUACUUUCCUUUUGAAUAUGAUUCCAUGUGCAACUCCAACUAUCAUUUGAAAGGUCCACAUCAAUUCAUGGUAAUAUAAGGAUGGAUAACAAUUGUCGUGUCCGUCAUAGUUGAAUUCAGGAUUACUUUCAACGAAGUGUAGACUUAUUAGACCACAUGCCAUUGACAUACGAUAUAACAGCAAUAUUAGGUCAAUAUAAGUGCACUAUAGAGGCAAUAUUAGAGCAAUAUAAGGGCAAUACGAUAGCAAUAGUAUUCCACUAUAUAUACAAUAGGGUGGCAAUAUGCAUACACUAUCUACACAAUAUACAGGCAAUAUCAAGGCAAUAUACAUGCAAUAGAACUACAAUAUUAAGUCAAUCUACAUACAAUACAUACACAUUACAGACAACAUUUCACCCAUGCAAAAGAAAUCGCCACCGAACCUUAACAAUACUAUCCCGCGAAGGGAAAAUGAAGGCAACAAAAGAUCCAUGUACUCAGGUGAGAUGAACUGAAGCAGCACUCACCGUUACUACAGGUCCAUCAAAAGAUCCAUGUCUUUGUCCUUUCUCCUCGCUGCAUGCACGAGGCUAUGAUGAGCCAUUCCUUCAGCAUCCAUAUUCAGCACCUGCCAGACACCAGCUACAUCAAUUUCACUCCAAUUGUAGUCUGGUGAGAUGACCGAAGCAUAAUCUCGGAACAUUUCGAAGCCGUUGUUGAAACAUUCAACCAUUUCAUGGUUAUAUUCUUCAGAUUGUGUGAAUUUUUCGACGGCAUUUGUCUUUCUCUCUUCCAAUUUCAACUUCAACGACUCUAACUCUUUGCUCCGACUUUUUGCUUUUAGAGUUUGCUUCACCUCUCCUGCGUAUGCUUUGUUCAACUUGUUCGCCAAGUUUCCCAUAACUUGGCCAUGAAUAUCGCACUUACUCUCCCACCAAUCCGUUGCCUUUGACAUAUAUUGGAGGUGGUGCUUGACGGCAGAGAUUUGGUCAAGCGGAUCAUUGAUCUCAGCCUCACUUCCAGAUGAAGUGGGAUCAUGAUUGGGAGUCCGAGGUGGAGAUGGGAAUGGCACAUGCCACGGCUGGUCCCCCGGGUAACUGACAUGCUCAUUUGGAGGGCGUACAUCCGACAUCUUUAAGUAUUGCUGGGGACAAUUCACAGCUGUUGCCUGCAACAAAACAAAUAAAGCUACAUUCAGUCUCCAGUUGUAAACGACAACAUGGUUAGCUUUAGUGGAGAAUAUGUGUGCUGCACUAAGACUAAUUACCUUUCCCGUUAAAAAGGUGCCUCUGUUGCAGUUCUAUAUAGGAAGGUUCAGUUAUAUGUACGAACUACUAUGAAGUAUAUUGCGUGUUUAGUUGGUGCAUUCAAUUGAUGGGAUUGCAAACUACACAAUUAACUCCUUGGCUGCAAUUUACAGCAGUACAACAUUACAUUAACAACAACAAAAAAAUGCUUCCAAACGACAAAAAAGCAAACCUUAAUGGGACAUUGUAAAUUGUGGAUUUCAACCCAAAAUAGGACUAUGUCACUAAGCAUUUAUUGCGAAUUUCAGAAAAGAAAAUUGGAAAUUACCGAAAUUGGAAAAUUGGAAAAGUGAAAACUUGGAAAAUGGGAAAUAAAGAAACUUGAAAAAUUGGAAAUAGAACCAAAGGAAAAUUGGAAAAUCGGAAAUACGAAAAAAUGGAAACUUGGAAAAUUGGACAUAGGAAAAAAGGAAAAAUUGGAAAGAGGAAACUAGGAAAUAAGAUAAAAUGACAGUUGGAAAAUUGGAGAAAAUUGGAAAAUUGGAAAAUUGGAAAAUAGGAAAAUAGGAAAAAGGAAAAAAGGACACUUGGAAAAUUGUAAAUUUGGGUAAUUGGAAAAUAUAGCAACUUGGAAAAUUGGAAAAUUGGAAAUUGGACAAAAGGAAACUUGGAAAAUAGGAAAAUAGGAAAAAGGAAGAAAUGGAAACUCUGAAGAGAAGAAAAUUGGAAAAUUCUAAAUAGGAAAUAGGAAAAAAGGACACUUGAAAAAUAGGCAAAUUCGCAAAUUGGAUAAUUGAAAAUUUGGAAUAUUGGAUAACUGGAUAAUUGCAAACUAGAAAAUAAGGCAACUUGGAAAAUAGCAAAAUUGGAAAUAGAACAAAAGGAAAGUUAGCAAAUUGAAAAAUUGAAAAAUUGGAAAAAGGAAAAAGAAAGAAACUUAGAAAAUAGUCCAAUUGGAAAAUAGAAAAUUGGAUAAUUGGACAAAAACUGAAUUUGAAAAAUGGAAAUAGGAAACAGGGACACAUGGAAAAUAAGAAAAUUGGAACCGAAUUGAAAUUGUGGAAAUGGGAAAUAAGACAAUUGCCAUAUUGGACAAUUUUAUUUACUUUCUGAAUUAGGCAAAGUAGGCAACUUUUUUUAAUUACAUAAUGGGAAAAUGAGAACAUUGAAAAAUUGGAAAACUGGAAAUAUAACAAAAGGAAACUUGGGAAAUUGCACAAUAGGAAAAUAGGGAAUAGGCAAAAAUAGGCAAAAAUAAUGAGAAAUUGGAAAAUUGGAUGACACAUGGAAAAUAGGAAAAUAUGAAUAAUGGAAAAAUGGAAACGAAUUGAGAUUGCUGAAAUGAGAAAUAAGACAUUAACCAUAUUGGUCAAUUUGAAUGAGUUGGUCAAUUAGGCAAAUAGGCAAAUCCCUUAUUUGAAUUAAAUAAUGGGAAAAUGACCAAGUUCGGAACGUCCAACAUACAACUAUAUUACAAAAAGGCAUACAGUGAACUGGCUAAUAACUCCCGCCCAAUACUAUCCCGCCUAAGACUCCCGCCCAAUACUAUCCCGCCUACGACUCCCGCCAAUCCCUCCCGCCAAUAACUCUCUGAGUUACUCCAGGUCAUUAAAACCUGCCUAUAUUAAUCAACCCAGCUGUUUGAAAUGAAAACUUCCAUCACAUUAACUCCUGCUUGCAGCCAUUACCUUCCCCACUGAUUUCACUCACAUUUCAUUUAGUCCCCCUUUUUUCCAAUUAAGUUGUACACCAGGCUACAAUAAAUAUCGAAGACCAUGGACCAUUACCUCACACCAAACCCAACGCUUUCAAUUAUUGAAGGAGGGGAGACUUAAACACAAGCCAAGUCACCUAAUUCACUCCCUGCAGACUUGGUCCAUGGCAUGCAGCAAUGUCGAGGCAAUACGAUGUUUUGGAAAAAUCUUCAUGCAGACAUAGUUUCAAAAAUUGUGGAGGGCCAAGGUAGAUGGGGUGUCAUAAAAAACCGCACAAUUCGCUCUCGUUAUCAUGCUCGCAUGCAUCUCCUACAUAUAAAGGCAAUGAAAGCAAAAAUUGAAAUUGCCCCUGCCACUGCAAUUAUGGUAUUCAAGGAAUCAGAAGCAAUGGCCAAGUUGAAGAAAGAAGAAGUGGAAAGCGGAUUUGAACUUUUUCGUAAGUUUGCAAAAAUAGUGGAUCCGGUAGGAUCUUGGGCCAACAUCACUGUGGCCGGGGUCAUGAAUUUCAUGGGUCGCGGUCACCGCACUUGAAGACUAUGCAACUUCGAAUUUGUCAACACCAGGGAAAUGAAACUAUGAGGCGGCCUAUUUUUGUAUUAUGUAAUGAUGGGGUGGCCUGUUGUUGUAUUAUGUAAGUUUGGAAUUAGGAUUUUAUGGAAUGAUGAAGCCUCUUUUUGUAUUUGUGCGUAUACAGUUUAUCGGUGUCCAGUUCAGUGGCGAUAUAGCAGCAAUAACUAUACAAUAAACAUGCGUAUAAUGGCAAUAUUAUGUCAAUAAGAGUACAAUAGAGUGAUGAUAGAGUUACAAUAUGAUCCUAUUACAGUACGUACUGCAUCAGAAUGUUUUUUAAAUUAAUUGGUCCAAAAAAAUACGAAUAAAUAAACAAAAAAGUAAUUACAAUUUGGAAAAAGGAUGAAUUAUACAUCCCUUAAAAGACAUAUGGCCUACAAUACAGACCUUCAAAAUGAACUAUAUAUAUAUAAUGCAUGCCUUGUAGCACCAUCACAUCCCCCCCUAAAUUACACAAACAUGACACCCCAAAACCUCAUGCUCCUUCCUCUUUCAACCCCUAAAUUAUCCAUUGGAUGCCCAAUACUAGAUCACUACUUGGGGGGUGGGAUACCCUGCAACUCCAUAACAGAAUUAGUAGGGGAGAGUGGUUCCGGGAAGACGCAGCUUUGUCUCCAACUUACGGUAUGAGCUCAGCUCCCACCCUCACAUGGCGGACUAGGGGGCUCCUCCGUCUACAUAUUCACAGAAUUCAGCUUCCUAUUUCGUCGAUUGCAACAACUAGGCAACCUUUAUCAUGCAUCAUACCCCAACUUAAUAAGGUUGGAGUCAUUGGAAGACAUAUAUGUUCAUGGUGUUCAUGAUGCUCAACAACUCAUCCAUGUCCUUGGAGACAUAGAAGCAUUUAUUGCCAUUGAUCACACCCGCCUACCUGUGAAACUCAUUGUCAUUGAUUCCAUUGCUGCAUUGUUCCGAUCACAGUAUCAGACAACACCGGCAGAUUUGAAACGGCGAUCUGAAAUGUUCUUCAACAUAUCUGGGACAUUGAAGGGUUUAGCAAAUAAGUUUGGGUUGGCGGUGGUUGUCACCAACCAAGUGGUGGAUUUUAUUGGGCCACAUGAUGGAGUGAAUGGGGUGAGGUUGGGAAACUUGGAGUCCCUGGACACAUCAGGCAGACGGGUGAGUCCAGCUUUGGGACUGGCUUGGGCACAUUGCAUAAAUUCAAGAGUGUUCUUGGCAAGACAUGAGCAAUCUAUUGAGGUUGACAUUCGUAAUGCUCCUUCAACAAGUAUAUGUAGUCAAACACACAGGACAUUUCACCUUGUAUUUGCCCCACAUCUGGCCUAUGCAUCGGCUGAAUUUGUAAUCAGAAAAGAAGGUAUAGUCGGAGUAUCACAGUAACUGUGUAAGAAAGGAAUUCUAAGAACUUUAAUGUUUUGGAUCCAUUUGGAAUUACAUUCCAGUCCCUUUAAUUUCGCACUCAAAUUAUAAUAGCAAUCUGGAAGCAAUACCAGUGCAAUAAACGUACAAUAUAAUCGCAAUCUGUCAUCAAUACAACAUGCUGUAGCAAUGCAACCGAAAUUAUGCAAAUUUAAAAGAAUUCCUAUUCAGCAUAACACGAAACCCACCAUGAAUAAAAGUAGAGUUUACAUGACCUACCAAAGCAACACAAAUCAUAUUGUCUAAGAUACAUUGCGCAAUGGAAUAUUGUUUUUACAGGUGCUUUUAUUGUGGCCUGCGGAACCGCACCUUGAGCACUUUCUUCUAAUGGUGCCCUCUCCUUGCGAGGGAAUUCUUAUCUUCUUUCGUCUGCUUGACAUGACCCUUGCCAUGGGAGGCAGCACAACUCGACUUCGAACAUCUUCAGGAAUAUCCCACAUUCCGUGACGUUGUACCGGGUAGAUGGUAUCCGAAUAAACAUCCAUCCAGGUUUUCCGAGUGUAAUACCGAGAAGCCUUUGAGUAUACAUUUACUUUCAAGAAGCGGCAAACUGCAACUACAUGCUUGCAAGGUAGCUGCUCAAGCUGAAACUUUCUACAACUACAACUGUUGUUCGUCAAAUCUACGAGGCCGUCCUUAUCACCGUCCAAAACAUUAAACUGUGCAUUAUUUAAUUUAACCACAUUCAUCCUUGCAGUAUCCUCCAACCUGUUCCUCAACUUCUUCUCUCCUAAAUUGGGGCACAAUGUUGUUGUGCAAUUCAAAGCCAACUCACGACGUUCGGUGAACCAUUUCACAAGGAGAUUAACAAUUUCCCCUAUCAAAUGAACCACUGGCAGCAUCCUUGCAAACAUAAGGACUGAGUUGAUUGACUCCACAAUAUUUGUUGUCAUUACAUUGUAGCGGCGUCCAUCCAUGUGAGCUCUAGACCACUUAUGUAACCCUGCCUCUUCAAGAUAUUGAGCAACAUGUUCCUUUCGCUUGAUGUUGCGAAAAUGACAAUCAAAUUCAGCAAUGGAAUAAGAUUUCGCAGCCUGCUCAAAGUGCAUAAGUAUGUGAUCACGCUUUUUCAACUUGCAAGUGCGUUUCAUGUUCCCCUUCAUAUGAUUUUAACACCCUUGUACUUGGAUUUUAAAUGAGUGGCAUCCACGGCUAUCACUGGGAGCAUGGAAGAACGGAACCCUCUAAUACAUGCGCCAACCGCCAUAAAUAAAUACACAAAGUGAUUGUUCUCAUCAGUUUAGAUGUGUGUUUUUGUGCCGGGAUUCAUACGCUCCAAUUCAUAGCAAUAAGCUGGAAGGAUAUAAUAUGCCUCCUCCGCUGAUCCUCUAAUGGACAAUAGAGCUAACUCCUUUGCUUUCCAAGCUUUCAAAUAAUGGAUGGUGCAACCAAAGCUGUGUUUCACAUCUCUCAUAAUGUCACUUGGUGUGUAUAUUGUUCGAGAAUCCUUCAACUUCCUUUUAAGUGAAGUGGCUACAAGUGCUACGGUUGCUUGACGAUGCUUGUCACUUACGAACCUCAAAUCACAUUCAUGGACAGUUGUACACCUCACAAUCAUGAAGCUGUAUUCUCCAAUUCUCGAUGCUCGGACCCGCCAUGGGCAUGGACGUUGACAACAAACCACAAGCAACCUCUUAGUGCAAGAGAAUUGCACCUUAAAUUCAAAGUGGCCUCUUAAUGCCGUGAACCGUAACUCCGUCAACAAUGCUUUCUUACUAGAGAAAAUUUGCCCAACUGUAAUUUUCGGAUUCCAAUCACUUCGUGAAAACCCGCUGUCCAAAUAUGCUUCUUCAUCAUAUACACCGGCUUCAUUGUACCGGUUUUGUUCACCCAUUUGACUCCAAUAAUGUUGACGAGUGGAUUCAGAUUCUCCUCCUAAACGCAUUAUUGGCAACUGGGUAGCUGUGUUCAAGCAGCCCAAAUUAGGAGGGGCAGAGUACACUGACACUUCAUUUCUUUCAGUACCAUUAUCACCACCAUGCAUCUCCUCCACCUCGCUAAAAUCAAUCAUAUCCAUAAAAUCUGUCCCUACUUCACCUCCCACGUCAGUGACAUUUUUAUUAUUCCAAGUUACUUCAUUGCUUUCAACAAUGGCAACUGAAGAAUGACCCAUCCGACUACUAUCUGUCGUGAUAUGCGUACUAUGAACUACAUCAUUUGUCAGUCCUUUAUCUUCUAUACUCACGAGUAAGGGAGCUAGUUUUGAAGGUGUUACCUCGGAAUUGUACUUCAUAAAAAAAUUGACAUCAUCAUCGUCCUCAAUCUUUAUGUGCUUCCACUCAUUCGAGGCCACCAAAACUAAGAAUUUUAAGCAAACCUUGUCUUCCCUGCUGUUUGUAUUACCAAUCUGAUGCACACGGUCCAACAGUUCAGCAAAUUUGAUAGUCCGUGGAACUACUAAGCCUUUUGAGUCACCCCCUUCGUAUUUGCACAUCUUCUUCGAGGUGACCCAUUUUCCAUUGUAGCACACGAGAAUAACAAUUGUCUCCAUUUCUGACCAUGACAAAACAACAUUUCAUUAACCCAAUAUAACCACAAUAACCAUACAAUACAAUAGCAAUAUAACCACAAUAUAACAGCAAUAUAGAAGCAAUAUAAUGUCAAUAUAACAGCAAUACGACAGUAAAAUAAGAGGAACACAACAGCACUACACCAGUAACACAUCAGAAUCACACUAUACAGAUCUACUACAUCAAAUGGAAAAUCCCAAGUUUCAAGAUUCACAUAUCCAGACCAAUCUAAAUGCAAUUGGUACAAACCCAGAUGAAUGAGCAUGAAUAUUCAACAAAACCUAACCCAAAGAAAUUAAAGCCAAAACGAAUUUAACACAAACCCAAACAAUCAAACUAUAACCCAUUUCACAUAAUCCCACUGAUAUUAAUAAAAACCCAAAGAAAUUAAAGCCAAAACGAAUUUAACACAAACCCAAACAAUCAAACUAUAACCCAUUUCACAUAAUCCCACUGAUAUUAACAAAAUAACCAUCAACACUACCUUUUCGAGGUCGGCAAUCCACUAGAGCUUCAAGGUUGCAAGCAGCUAUUCAGAAGACAUAGCUAAAGGGAGGGGUUCGCGAUUCCAAACAAAGAGCAAGAGAUCGAAUAGGGGAGAAACAGACAUAACGAAGCUAGAGAGAGAAAGAGCUGCGCUAUGAGAAAGAGAGCAAAGAGAGAGACAGAGAGUUGUGCUAGAGAGAGAGAGAGUCAAGAGAUAGAGAGCCAAGAGAGACGCAGAGAGCUGUGAUAGACAGAUACCAAAGAGAAAGAGAGCUGUGCUAGAGAGAGAGAGAGCUGUGUGAGCUAAGAGAGAACAGAAUUUCUGGACUUGUGAAAAAACUGCAAUAAGUGGACAAUAAUUUUAUAUUUAUAGGUGAUAGUUGUACAAAAAUUGGGAAGGAGUGGUAUUUUUAAUUACAAUUAUAAAAAUGGUGGCAUUUAGGGCUAUUUCCCAAGAAUCUUCUAGUUCUUCAAUGGAUGACCAUAUGAAUUCUCAAUUAUUCGAUGCAUCAUCGUUGACCCUAAAUGGCCCAGUCUAUCAUGCCAAAUUAUAAAAAGUUAUGGAUUGUUGAACUUCUGGUUCACCAUAUAAUUUGAUUCUAUUUCACUUAUGGUGGUAUAAUAUAACCCUGAUGAAAAAGCUGGAAGUUUUUCUACUACAUGCUUCUAGCAUGAGUUAAUAGAAGUGAUAUGAAGAUAUUCUUAUUGAAUUAAAAGCAUUACACACAAAGUACAUGAAUUGAAACACUCAGCAUACAAUAAGCCUUUUAUUUUAGAGCAUUACACACGAAAAUGUAGAAAUUUGAACACACAACAUAAGGUAUAGCAUAAAAGAUCAAUACAGAAUUAAUCAACAUUCAUGUCAUCAAUGCCAUCAUUGUUAGCCUUGUCAUCAUCAUUGGCAUUUCCUUCAUUGAUUGUGCGAUCAAUGUUUCCACUUGUUUCUAUAAAGAAAUUAGAAACCUCUAAAUGGGUGAUGUCUAUCGGCUCAUUGAAAUCACCAAAAAUGUUAUCGAAAUCAGUAUAGUUUGUUUGUUUCUCUUUUCCCUUUCCCUUAAUUGAUUCUUGAUAUAGAUUAACAAGAUGUUUUAGCAUACGAUAUGUACGUGACCAGUGUCCUUUUAUUCCACACUUGUAGCAAGCAGCAUCAUCUUUCUUUUGGGAAUUAUGCACAACUUUCUUUUUCCUUUUCCUUCAUUAUUAUUCCACUAUUAGUGGUAUGAUGUGUUUUUCUUGUUUGAAUAACUUCCUCAAUUUUGGGAACUGUAAUGAACAUGACCAUGACCUCGGCCGCACCCAUGACCGUGUCCACGGUCGUACCCAUAUUUUCUUGCAUUUGCUUCAGGCGAUAAUGUAUGCAUAUUCUCAUUUGUAUUCACUUCAAGGAUUGGUUUUGAGCCAGUUGAAUCAGACUAAUAAUUUUUCAUUAAAAGUUCAUUAUUUUGUUAUGCAACAAGGAGACAUGAAAUCAGUUGGGAAUAUUUAUUAAACACCCUUUCUCUAUUGAGCAUCCAAUCAUAUUGAGCCUUUGGAAGUAUUAUACUCUUUUAGUCAUCAUAUAUUUCUUCCAAAUUUUUCCAGAGAACUGCUGGAUCUUUCAACCCAAGAUAUUCAGUUUUCAAUCCUCCAUGAAGAUGAAGGAAAAUCAUUGCUUUUGCGCGAUCCUGCAGGGAUGCUUGAUUUCCUUGCUUGAUGGUAUUUCCUAGUUUAUUCCCAUGCAGAUGAAUUUCCGCAUUGAGAAUCCACGUUAGAUAGUUCUUGCCAGAAAUAUCUAGUGCAGUGAAAUCAAUCUUAGCAAGAUUUGACAUUGUUGUAUAUCUAUAAAGAUAGAAAUAAAGAAUUAAUAAAAAUAACAGUAUGCAUUAAUAAUAUAAAUGUUUAGGAAAAUAAUUUUAAGGAGAUGAUUGGAUUAUAAUAUGUAUUUUAUGUACUUGAUGCUACAGGUUCAAGUUUAAUAAAAUUUAAGACUUCUAGCUCUUAAAUUAUCAUAUCAUUCAGAACUUAUGGUUCUAAGAUUAUUUUGAUUUUAAACUUCAGGUUUAAAUCAUUAAGAUGUGAACUUCAGGUUUCCACUCAAUUCAAAAUAAAAUUCAUUUCUUAUAAAAGUAUUCAUGAUAUUACAAUUAUCAUUUUAGUUUAGAACUUCGGAUUCCAAAAAUAUUGGUCUAUGAACUUCGGGUUCAUGAAUGAUAAAAAUUCAUCUUCAUCAUAUCAAUAUUGUAAGUUUAAAGAUUAAAAAAGCUGAUAUAUAAAGUUUGGCCGUUAACUAUGUAAAUAUAUAUAUAUAUAUAUUUAUUUAAAAACAAUAAGUAUGUUUUAUAUAAGAUAAAAGCCCUGCACGAGAAUACAAAAAUGGAUAAUAUAGAAGAUUCAUGCUUUGACGUAGCUUCCACUUGUAUUAAUUAACAUGUGUAUAGCUAUAUCUAAAUGAAACUUGGUUAGUAAAAAUAGCACUCAUAUUAAUGAUUGAACUAGUAAAUAUAAUAAAAAAAACGGAAUAUAAAUUUAGAUGGAAGAAAAUUAUACCAAGAUCCUUGAGUGGUUAGAGACUCGUGCUGAUAACGUGAUAUAAAACUUAGGGUAAAUUACUCAAAUGGUCCUCAAACUUGUACUCGAUUUACAUUUUGGUCCCUAAAUUAAAUUAGUAGUCCAAAUGGUACAUAAACUCUAUAUUAAUCGCCCAUUUGAUCCAACCGUUAUAUUUUCUGUUAAAUGUAACCAAAUUUUAAGGACAAAUACGACUUUUCAUAAUUAACAAAUAAAAUAGGGUUAAAAUAAAUACAAAAUUAGAAAAUAAUUGAAGAAGAAGAGAAAAAAAAAGUGUUUGGUCCCUUUGACGUCUCCUCUUCCAAUAGAACCCAUUUCUCUGGAGAACUCCAACACCCCAUUCUCAAAUUGCUUCCCAUUAUUAAUCACAUCGGAGUAAACCCCUCCUCCAAUCCCCUCUCCCUCAUCCCCACCACUAGUAAACAAAGACCCAUUUCUUGAGCCUGGCAAGCUGUAUCCAUGUGGCAAUGACUGAAGCAAUUCCCUGAACAAUGGUGGCUGUGGAGGCAGGUUCAAAUGGAAAAGUGGGUCAUAGGGAACCGAACUCGCUGUCCCUGUCGGGGUGUCAAUCCCACCAUGGACAUCUCCGAGGAACCCCAAAGAGUUCAGAAAAUUCGAGCUUCUCGGGUUGGGGUUUGUGAAGGUAAUGGACGAGUUUUGGAGAACAGAGGAGGGUGAGCAUCUAGGUAAGCUGAAAAGGUUGAGAAGGUCAGGUGUAGGUGGGUAUGCACCAUUAGCACCAUCUUGCAAUUGUUGCUGCAUCUGAUCAUGGACACCAUGAAUAUUGUCCCAAUUGGUUUGUUGCUCAAAGGAAACCAAAUGGUCAGUAUUGGUGCUGUAUGGAUUGAACCCAAGUUCAUUUUGGAGCUCAAUUUCCAUGGCAGCAUGAUGAUCUUGUUGAUGAGGGUAGGAGAGCUCUUCCAUGGAGAGUCUCAAGUUUUCUGCAACAGCAAAGCUGUUGUUGUUGUUGUUGUGGGUUUCUGAGGGAGAAGGCAUGAGAACUUGUGGUGGAGGUGACAGGGGAAGAGGGUUGAGGUUGAGGACACUUUCUGCUGAUUCUGGCAUGGAGUUUUGGUCAAAGUUGCAGCCUACUGUAUCUUCAUACAUUUUUGGACCAGUCUUUAAUUUGUCUUCUGGAGCCUUUUGGCUUUUAUGGGUCUGUUUUGUCUCUCUGCAGCAUUUUCACAUAAAUGGGGCCUGGGAUGGAGGGUGGUUGUUGGAUGGGUUUGGGUGGAGAGUGGUUGUGGGAUGGGUUGGGGGUUGGAGCUUGAGGGUGGUGGCCAUGGGGGAAUGGAGAGAGAGAGAGUUUUAACGUACGAAAUGACCAAUUUGUCCUCACAUUUAACAGCAACAUUGACAGAAUGUAACAGUUGGAUCAAAUGGGCGAUUAAAAUAGAGUUUAUUUACCAUUUGGACUAAUAAUUUACUUUAGGGACCAAAAUGUAAAUCGAGUACAAGUUUGAGGACCAUUUGAGUAAUUUACCCGGACUUAUGGAGAAAAUUUAGAAGAAGAUAAUAACCAUAGAGCUGCUCUUCUCAAACUUGUAAUUUAAUUCUCUUAAUGCCUUGUAUUUAUGGACAAAAUAGAGUAUAACUAUUUACCACACUUAACAAAUAUAAUAUAGGUAAAUUACAAUUACAUCAUUGUGGGUAAAAACAUAGUGGCAAGAAUUGUGAGAAAAAGUAUAUAGUGGGCAUCCAUAAUAAUUAAAUUGAUUUAUAAGGCCUUCUCCAACCAAUUUGGUCCUAAACCUAAAUUUUCCUCCUCUAAAAAGUAACUAUUUGGUUUUUGCCCGAACUCAAACCAUUUUUUCCCUCAACCCUUCAGACUCCAAUUUUAAGUUUGCGACUUUAUUAAAUUGUUUAAUAAUGGUUUAAGUAAAUUUUUUUUUUUUUUUUUGUGUGGAUAACUUUUCUUCAUUUAAUCUUUUUAAAUAACUUCAUAAUUUAAUUUUGUGAACAAUUUGAUUUUAAAAAAUUGAAAUUCCACAAAUAUAAUUAUAUUCGAGAAAUGGGUGGGUAUUUAUAGAGUUUAAAGUGAGUUUUGGGGUUGGAUUUGAUUUAGAUUAAUUUAAGAUAUUAUUUUGAUCGUUGAAUUUUAUUUUUUACUGUUAAAAUAGCUUGGAUUUAAUAUUGAUCAUUGGAUUUGGGUUAUUGUUGAAAAAAAAAAAAAGGCACGAUACCAACACACGAUAGUUGGCGUGUGAUAGCUUCUGCAGCAACAACAGCGACACCUGGUGUCCAUUGAUUCCUCCUUGCACAUGGGCUGCGUUAGUCUUGAGUGGGCUACACCAAAAGUUUUCCUGUCCAGUUUGGCUCCAAGUUUGGGUUUCCCAAAUUUUGACCCCUUACUUUUCUUGAGUUGGGAGAAAAUUUGGGGGCCAAAUUGUAGCGAUGGUCCUUGGACUAAAACAAACUUUACUUUUCGUCCCUCAUAUUGUUAAAUUUUUACGGUGGUAUUUGAAUUAUGCCUCCACUUUCAGAAAUCAUCAUUUCCGUCAUCUCAGUCAACUUUUCAAUUAAAAAUCAUGACAUGGCAAUGACAAGUCCUACUUGGCAUGGGCAAAAAUGUCUUUUCACACAAAAAAUUUAAAAAAUUAAUCAAAUCUCUCUCUCUCUCUCUCUCUCUCUCCAGCCCCGAUUUCUUCCCCCAAGUGAUUUCUCACCCAGAUUUCUUCACCCACCCAAAUUUCUUCCCAACCCCGAUUUCUCUCUUUCUCCCCCCCAAGAAGCAAAACAGAGAAGUGAUUAACAUCCCCCCCUCCCUACCAACGAACCAGAACCCCAACCCAUAGCAACAAUUUUGCCAAUACACAAACACAUAGCUAUAAGAAGUGACCAAUUUCUCUUAGCAGAUCAAUACACCUAACCAAGAAGCUAGCAAAUCCAAAGUAAACAAAAAGUGGGGGAUUGCGGGAGAGAGAAAUUUCUUUUGAUGGUUUUGUUGUACGUUCUUGGGACUUUUAUCUGUUCAGUGAUGAGGCUUUUGCAAUUUAAGUUUAAGGAAUAUACUUCUACUUGUUGGAAACUAUUAAUUUGGGAAGAAUGUCAUUAUGAACCAUCAGUAUGUUCUCUACCUAAAUGUACUGCUGGAACCGAAAGAAUCGAACUACCAUUUAGAGAAUGGGAAGAGUGCUGGGUUUCUUCUGAAGUGUGCUCCUCUUCUAUUAGUAUUCAACCAGAGGAAAGAGUGUCUUCACUUAUUAAUGUCAUUUUAGCCAUCCUUCAACCCUCUAUCAUUUCAGCCUCCUUCAAAGAUUGAACCAAUUUCUAUUCACAAAUCCAUAAGCAAAAGAAAAGAUGCCUCUGCUUCUCUGUUUUGAUCAGAUCUAUGGUGGAGGAUGGGGGCUGGGGUUGCGGGUUUGUGGGUGUUAGGGUUGCGGGUGUGGGUAGAGGGUUCUAGGGUUGGGGGAAGAAGAAAUCGUCGGGGGAAGUGGGAGAGCGUAGAGGAAAGAGGGAGAGAGAGAGAGAGAGAGAGAGAGAGAGAAAUUUUUUUUUAUGAAUUUUUCAAUUUGCCCUUAAUUUUGAUAGAAAAUUUAACUAAGUUGACUGGAAGACCAAUGAUGCAACAUGAGAUCUAAUUAAAGUACCACCGUAACAAUUUAACAAUAUAAGGGACGGAAAGUAAAGUUUGGUCUUAAUCCAAGGGCCAUUGCUACAAUUUUACCAAAAUUGAGUCAUAAUUUGAGAUUAUUUGGGUUUGGCCUCAAGGGUUGAAAAUGGCCUAACAGAAGUAAAUUCAAAGGGCAAGGUCGGGCCAGAUUUUUUUUAGAAAAUUCAAAGCCCCAUGGGUCGGGCUUAAGAAAGCACAUUGGGCAGGGCCGGGCCUAAACGGGCCUACAUCAUUAAAAAAAAAUCAUAACUUAAUCAUAAAGGCAUUUUAGUCCAAAUUUGAGAUUAAACUCACUUAAUUCCAAUAUUUUCACAUCAAACCAAAUUCAUAAAACACCCAAUAAAGUCACACAACUUAUAAGAUUUUCUACACAAAUAAUAAAAUCAAGUAUUAUUUUUGAGGUUAUUACAUAAUUAGACCAUAAUACGUUUUAAAAAAUAAUAAGUAUCAAAAAAAUAUUUGUUUUAAAGGAUGGUAUGAAUAAAUAUGCAAAUAUUUGGUGAUGUGUUCAAGAAAAACAUGAUUAUAUUUGGUAGUACAAUUAUGUUUCGUGAUAUGAUUAUAUUUGGUGAUGUGAUAUGUUGUUCAUCUUAUAUAUAUAAUUGUUGAAUUAAUAAUUGACACAAAUUAAUGUGCUAAUCAUCCAAAUAUAAAUUAGGAAUAAGUAAAGAAAAGUAAAUGAAAUGAAACAAAUUAUAUGUGAUUUAAGUGAUAAAGUCCUAAACCUAAACUUUUAUUUAUACAUAUAUAAUACAUGUAUGCGGGCCUAACGGGCCGGGCUUUUGUGGGUGGGACAGGUCGGGUCUAUGGGCCGAGUUGGGCUUCAGACACCCAAGCCCAAGCCAAGCUUAGCCCAAGGCGGGCCGAACCAUCUCAAAACCCAUAACGGACCGGGUCAGACUUUUUUCCAAUGGGCCGGGCGGGCUUCCAUUGGCCCAUGAGCCCGCGGGCCAAAUGAUAAGGCGUAAUCCAACAGUAUAAAAAGUCAAAAUGGGACACGUGUCCGGAAUCUGAUUUCACAGUUUCUAGGCUAGGGCAGCUGCUGCAUAUGCAUAUAAAUUUGGGAUUUAGGGUCGAGCCAUCUCUACGGAUACGGCGCCGCAAAAUAAGCUGCUGCUGAUGCAGCCGCCACAGCCGGCAUCUCCAGCGUCUACAACUCACGUGCCCUAACCGACUCCUACCUAUCCGACCUGACCCUCCGGUACCUUUCCGAGUGGGACCCUUCGGCCUCCGCCACCGACGACAAUAGCCGAAGUAGCUCUAUGUAUCUGGCGACGUCGUCGCAUUUGAUGUCCUAGUAUUCAUGGCCAGCUCCCGAUGUCGAGCCCGGCGUGAAGGUUCCUCACUUUCCGCUCUCUGUUUGGUUACUGCAAUUUUGUUCUGAUGUAAUUGUUUAUUGUUUCUUUGAUAAGAAAGUGAGAAUCUUGAAUAUGGUUAUGAUUAAAGUUCAUUGCUUUAAUACGACGUUUACUGAAAGUUUCUAAUCGUAGUAUCAUAGAGAUCAAAGAGUGGGAAUGCAGUUGCUGCAUACAUUGCUUAAAUUAGCUUAUUUCUAAGUUAAUCUUGUAUGCAAUUGUAUUUCUGAUUUUAUGUGUGCUUUUUAAUUUGCUUAUCAGCAAGUAUGAAUAUGAUUUUUUGCUUAGAAUUAGUAAUGUUUGAAACUGAUUAGUAUUUCAAGCUUACUUUCAUAAAGUCAGUUCUCCACAGAUUUCACCUUAGAUCAGUAAUCUAUUAAUUUUAGAAAUUGAAUUUGUUGAUCAUAGAUUGCAGCUGUUUAUGUGCUAUUGUCUGUUUGCUCAUUAAUUGAUAAAGAGACAAAAGUUAUAUUGCAAUAACUAACGGAAGUUUAUGAUUGGUUCAUUAGGUUCCGCUUGUCGCUUCCAAGUGAAUCCCUUACUGAGAGACAUGGAGAGCCAGAUUGUCCAGUAAGUUGCAAUUCAAUUUUUUUUUGUCUUUUUGCAGAAAUGAUACUUUUAAACAAUUUAACUGGAUAUGGAUUCUUUUCCCUUUUUUAUGUUGCAGUAUAAAUACUUUAUAAAGACUCAAAGAUGCAAAUUUGGUAUGUGGUGCAAGUUCAAUCAUCCGAAGGACAAACUGGCUGUAAGUGCAAAUGAUAUGUGGAUUUUCCAAGAGUUAACUGUCGUUUGGACCUAUUCCCUAUUUUAUUAUGAUAUGAUGCUCUACUAUGGUUUUAGGUUGCUUCAGAAAAUGCUGAUUUUUUGCCUUACCUGAGAGGCCUUCUGAACCCCCAUGUGCAGUAAGAUAUAUUUCCAUUACUUUUUUGGUGUGCGUUAUCUAUCUAUCUAUGUCGUAGAUUUGCUUAUAUUCCAUUUCAUAAUUUUUAAACAGUUCCACUAGUAAACGGGGCAAUGUAAGUUUGGUGCAACCUGCAAAUUUCAUCACCUGAAAGAUAUCCUGAUACCAUCAGCCGAGCAAGAGAAUACAAUUGGAGAAACUAGGACAACAAUUCAGCCGGAGGGAACUGAAUUUGCUGUGAAGCCUCUUGUUUCAUUCAGCCCUGCACUAUCAUUUAAC
Molecule: long non-coding RNA, 44034 nt
Filed under: Prunus persica (peach)
Lineage: Eukaryota; Viridiplantae; Streptophyta; Magnoliopsida; Rosales; Rosaceae
Description: long non-coding RNA (PPER_LNC006825)
Source: RNAcentral